AAAGCCAUAUCAGAUAGGCACGUAAAAAAACAAAUACGACAUGAUAAACACAAUUUCAUAUCCCAUCGAUAAAACAUUUAGGACUUCGUCCUUAUUUAAAAGAAAGCCCACAUAUGUGAUACUGUGUAUACUCCCUUCAAAAACAAUUUACACACAUACUUCCUGUUUUCAAAACAAGAGAAUGGGUAGAGGCCCAAGUUUUUUUUUAAAAACAAAACACAACUAAUUGGCCCAAAACAAUUAAAAGAAAUACUAUUAGUUUUUUAAAUGUAACACACGUACCCUCCCAUUCACUUUCAACAUAUUAUUAAGGGAUUAACAAAUAAAAUAAUAAUAAAAAAUUCAAGUACUUCCUUUCCCCAAAAGAAACCGUCGGCUACUCUUCUAUCUCUCCACUGAAAUUCUCAAAAGAACACACCUAAAUUUCAUUUGAUGAACAAAGCCAAAAAAAUCUCUAAUUCACUUCUCCCAUUUCCUUUCCCAAGUUGAAACAUGAAAUGAUAAUACACACACGCACCAACAUCACGAAUUUACAACACCCGGAGUCCACCGUCUCUCCCAGUCGUCGCUCAGCGCCGCUCGGGCAGCCUCAACUUCGUCUGAAACAGCCCCGUUUCUACCCCGAUUAUCCCCGCAGAUAAGUUCUUAAAUUGGGUUCGUGAAUUACAGCUUGAAACUUUGAUUUAGAUUGUUCAGAUUAUCUAUUUGCUUGAGCGAGAAACAUGCUAUGCAGUUCAUGGAUUGAAGAAUUGAAUUGGGGAAGAAGAUUAUACCUUCAAAAGAACAAUUGGCUUGAAACAGAAGAAGAUUGAAGCUUCUGGCUUUUCCCUUUUUACUGUUCCCUCCGCCGUUUUUUUUGAAAGAUUUGCAAGAAGGAGGAGCGGUUAUGAGCGUGGGAGAGGGAACGUAAAACAGGUAAUUGAUUCUCAAAAUAAAAGGAAUUUAAGGUCGAUGGAUGAUCUAAUUUUGGAGCAGAUUGAAGAAGGGAAGGGAAAAAAAUGCGUUAGUUGAUUUCACAAUCAAUUUGGACUCUAAUUGCUGCCUUUGACAAAAUCUGAAUUAGUUACUCAUUGGAAGAAGAAAUACGGCAGAUUGAGAGGAGAAUUACUGCGCUGGAAUCUUCUAGUUUCUUGGAAUAAUUUAGUAGGAUUUAAUUUGUUGGGCUCAAUAGGAAUUGAGAUUGGGCCAGGGGAUAUCAUUUGAGUAGGUAUUAGUUUGGGCUCAAGGCCUAAAUUAGAAUUUUAUUUAAAUUGUGUAGACACCAAUUUAUUCUUUAUUGGAUUGGACUUGUAUCAAUUAUUUAAUUCAUCAGAUGUGUUGGAAAUUA
Long non-coding RNA from Salvia splendens (bonfire salvia), 1327 nucleotides. RefSeq lists it as uncharacterized. The record is from RefSeq and is a predicted model, not a curated record. The transcript is spliced from 2 exons. Lineage: Eukaryota; Viridiplantae; Streptophyta; Magnoliopsida; Lamiales; Lamiaceae.